Molecule: ribosomal RNA, 380 nt
Filed under: Collocalia esculenta (glossy swiftlet)
Lineage: Eukaryota; Metazoa; Chordata; Aves; Apodiformes; Apodidae
Description: partial 12S ribosomal RNA
Rfam family: Bacterial small subunit ribosomal RNA
Source: RNAcentral
UCCGCCAGAGAACUACGAGCACAAACGCUUAAAACUCUAAGGACUUGGCGGUGCUCCAAACCCACCUAAGAGAGCCUGUUCUAUAAUCGAUAACCCAGGAUACACCCGACCACUCCUUGCCAAGGCAGCCUACAUACCGCCGUCGCCAGUUCACCUCCCCUGAGAGAACAAUAGUGAACACAAUAGCCCCACCCGCUAACAAGACAGGUCAAGGUAUAGCCCAUGAAGUGGAAGAAAUGGGCUACAUUUUUUAUAAUAGAAAAUCACGGAAAGAAGUAUGAAACUACCUCUGGAAGGCGGAUUUAGCAGUAAAGAAGGACAAUAGAGCCACCUUUAAGCCGGCCCUGGAGCACGUACAUACCGCCCGUCACCCUCCUCAA